UGGACGCAUCCUAAAUGAUUUUAGAACCUCCCUUACGCCAUUCAUGGUCCAAGCUCUUGUUUGUACCCAAGAUUGGCUAAGGGUUUCGAUUACUCUCGACACUGAAGAUGAGGAGGAAUUGUUAAUCUUGGAAAAGGAACUUAUUGAAGAGUUUGGUAGUACAAAUUCAUCUAAGUCAAAGGCAAGCAGUAGCAAGUCUGUUUGCAAGCCAUCUUGUCCACCUCCAUCCUCUACUUAACGUUGAUUUGCACAUCACCUGGCUGGAACUUGGGAGUUGGAAACUUGGGAUGAUCAUGAUUCUCCGGACAUGUCAAGAUGCUC
Long non-coding RNA from Hordeum vulgare subsp. vulgare (domesticated barley), 321 nucleotides. RefSeq lists it as uncharacterized. NCBI's taxonomy places the organism in Eukaryota, Viridiplantae, Streptophyta, Magnoliopsida, Poales, Poaceae. The record is from RefSeq and is a predicted model, not a curated record. The transcript is spliced from 3 exons.